GGGGGAAAUUUUAGCUUCGACACCCGCCUUGCUCCUUCCUCUUCCGGUUACGGCGACAGCAGCUUCAAAAUGGUGCAACGCCUGAAAUACCGUCGUAGGUUGUCCUACAACACCGCUUCCAACAAAACCAGACUUUCCCGGACACCUGGUAACCGUAUUGUGUACCUGUACACCAAGAAAGUU
Cynoglossus semilaevis (tongue sole) is the source of this 183-nucleotide long non-coding RNA. RefSeq lists it as uncharacterized. Lineage: Eukaryota; Metazoa; Chordata; Actinopteri; Pleuronectiformes; Cynoglossidae. The record is from RefSeq and is a predicted model, not a curated record. The transcript has 3 exons.